This 92-nucleotide ribosomal RNA is filed under the name Achromobacter mucicolens. RNAcentral's name for it is "partial 16S ribosomal RNA". It matches the Rfam family "Bacterial small subunit ribosomal RNA", at positions 1442 to 1533 of the family's 1533-position model. Lineage: Bacteria; Pseudomonadati; Pseudomonadota; Betaproteobacteria; Burkholderiales; Alcaligenaceae. The record is from RNAcentral.
CAAGGAGGGCGAUUACCACGGUAGGAUUCAUGACUGGGGUGAAGUCGUAACAAGGUAGCCGUAUCGGAAGGUGCGGCUGGAUCACCUCCUUU